This 306-nucleotide ribosomal RNA is filed under the name Amoebophrya sp. RNAcentral's name for it is "SSU rRNA". It matches the Rfam family "Eukaryotic small subunit ribosomal RNA", at positions 595 to 906 of the family's 1831-position model. Lineage: Eukaryota; Dinophyceae; Syndiniales; Amoebophryaceae. The record is from RNAcentral.
UAGCGUAUAUUAAAGUUGUUGCGGUAAAAAAGCUCGUAGUUGGAUUUCUGUUGAGAACGACCGGUCCACACAACGUGUGCGCAUCUGGUUCGGUCUCGGCAUCCUACCGAAGGACUACUCUGCGCUUGAUUGCGUGGAUAGGACUCCGGUACUUUUACUUUGAGGAAAUUAGAGUGUUCACGGCAGGCUAUCGCCAGAAUACAUUAGCAUGGAAUAAUACUAUAGGAUCUUGAUCCUAUUUUGUUGGUUUCUAGGAUUAAGAUAAUGAUUAAUAGGGACAAUUGGGGGCAUUCGUAUCAACACGUC